AGAGUUUUGAUCAUGGCUCAGGAUGAACGCUAGCUACAGGCUUAACACAUGCAAGUCGAGGGGCAGCAUGAAGUUUGCUUGCAAACUUUGAUGGCGACCGGCGCACGGGUGAGUAACGCGUAUCCAACCUUCCCCUUACUAGGGAAUAGCCCGGCGAAAACCGGAUUAAUGCCCGAUGUGGUCCAGCGAGGGCAUCUGACCCGGACCAAAGAUUUUGUCGGUUAAGGAUGGGGAUGCGUCUGAUUAGCUUGUUGGCGGGGUAACGGCCCACCAAGGCUACGAUCAGUAGGGGUUCUGAGAGGAAGGUCCCCCACAUUGGAACUGAGACACGGUCCAAACUCC
Molecule: ribosomal RNA, 342 nt
Filed under: uncultured Prevotella sp.
Lineage: Bacteria; Pseudomonadati; Bacteroidota; Bacteroidia; Bacteroidales; Prevotellaceae
Description: bacterial SSU rRNA
Rfam family: Bacterial small subunit ribosomal RNA
Source: RNAcentral